Molecule: ribosomal RNA, 253 nt
Filed under: uncultured bacterium
Lineage: Bacteria
Description: partial 16S ribosomal RNA
Rfam family: Bacterial small subunit ribosomal RNA
Source: RNAcentral
UACAGAGACUGCAAGCGUUAUUCGGAUUCACUGGGCGUAAAGGGUGCGCAGGCGGCCGUGUGUGUCAGAUGUGAAAUCCCGAGGCUUAACCUCGGAACUGCGUCUGAAACUACUCGGCUAGAGUAUUGGAGAGGGUAGCGGAAUUCACGGUGUAGCAGUGAAAUGCGUAGAUAUCGUGAGGAACACCAGAGGCGAAGGCGGCUACCUGGACAAUUACUGACGCUCAGGCACGAAAGCGUGGGGAGCAAAAGGG